RNAcentral lists this long non-coding RNA (475 nucleotides) under Fukomys damarensis (Damara mole-rat). Its description in RNAcentral is "lncRNA (ENSFDAG00000025984.1)". Lineage: Eukaryota; Metazoa; Chordata; Mammalia; Rodentia; Bathyergidae. The record is from RNAcentral.
CUUCAAUGAUCUCGCUGAAUGUCAAACUCGGGCAAAGCUGCUCUGAAUCUCUACAAAGUGAGACAAAGCCGGGCCGCUCUAUGACUUUGUUCCAAGACAGGCAGAAGCAAGGCCGUUGUGAGGCAGCCAGACAUGGCCAGCACAGGAGGAGCCAACCUGGAGCACAAUGGGGACACACCCACUGAAGGCCAGCACUGUAAAAGGAGACAAACUACCACAGCCAGGUAGGAUGAAUAGCAGUGAUUGAUAUUCUAAACACAUAUCAAUCACCUGGGUGGGGGACCAAGAUUUUCCUGGAAAGACUCCUGACCCACCCCUUACCACUGAAAAUCCUUGCUCAUUCCUUGUACACUUGCUCCAUUGGAUCCUGAAUGUUCUCUUUCCAGAUGAUGAUUAAGAUGCUAAUAAAAUAAAAAUGGUCCCAGGUACCAUAACAGCAACAGAACUUUGCUGUUUUCUGGAUAUUAUUCUUUUC